This 99-nucleotide signal recognition particle RNA is filed under the name Hyphomicrobium sp. MC1. Its description in RNAcentral is "SRP_bact". It matches the Rfam family "Bacterial small signal recognition particle RNA". From Rfam's summary of the family: The signal recognition particle (SRP) is a universally conserved ribonucleoprotein involved in the co-translational targeting of proteins to membranes. Archaeal SRP consists of a 7S RNA and homologues of the eukaryotic SRP19 and SRP54 proteins. In most bacteria, the SRP consists of a 4.5S RNA and the Ffh protein (a homologue of the eukaryotic SRP54 protein). Lineage: Bacteria; Pseudomonadati; Pseudomonadota; Alphaproteobacteria; Hyphomicrobiales; Hyphomicrobiaceae. The record is from RNAcentral.
AACGGGCUGGCGGCGGACGAGUUCGUCGCCAACCGGGUCAGGUCCGGAAGGAAGCAGCCCUAACGAUCAGAAAUCGGGUCGUUCGCCAGCCUCUUUACU